RNAcentral lists this transfer RNA (73 nucleotides) under Pseudomonadota bacterium. RNAcentral describes it as "tRNA-Thr". It matches the Rfam family "tRNA". Rfam says of the family: Transfer RNA (tRNA) molecules are approximately 80 nucleotides in length. RNAcentral also lists the same sequence under 2 other names. The record is from RNAcentral. Lineage: Bacteria; Pseudomonadati; Pseudomonadota.
GCUGGCGUAGCUCAAUUGGCAGAGCACCGGUUUUGUAAACCGGCGGUUAGGGGUUCAACUCCCCUCGCUAGCU